GCAUAUUAAGCGCGAAGCCCACUCCAAGAUUAGAAUUCCCUAUGAGAUCCCAGAGAGAAGAUCUGGUUGAUAGGCGCAAGAUGGAAGUACCGCAAGGUAUGGAGUCGAAGCGUACUAAUAGAUCCAUCGCCUUU
This 134-nucleotide ribosomal RNA is filed under the name Nanosynbacter sp. RNAcentral's name for it is "Candidatus Nanosynbacter sp. partial 23S ribosomal RNA". It matches the Rfam family "Bacterial large subunit ribosomal RNA", at positions 2777 to 2925 of the family's 2925-position model. The record is from RNAcentral. Lineage: Bacteria; Bacillati; Minisyncoccota; Nanosynbacteria; Nanosynbacterales; Nanosynbacteraceae.